RNAcentral lists this ribosomal RNA (490 nucleotides) under uncultured bacterium. Its description in RNAcentral is "partial 16S ribosomal RNA". It matches the Rfam family "Bacterial small subunit ribosomal RNA", at positions 30 to 507 of the family's 1533-position model. The record is from RNAcentral.
AUUGAACGCUGGCGGCAGGCCUAACACAUGCAAGUCGAACGGUAACAGGAAACAGCUUGCUGUUUCGCUGACGAGUGGCGGACGGGUGAGUAAUGUCUGGGAAACUGCCUGAUGGAGGGGGAUAACUACUGGAAACGGUAGCUAAUACCGCAUAACGUCGCAAGACCAAAGAGGGGGACCUUCGGGCCUCUUGCCAUCGGAUGUGCCCAGAUGGGAUUAGCUAGUAGGUGGGGUAACGGCUCACCUAGGCGACGAUCCCUAGCUGGUCUGAGAGGGUGACCAGCCACACUGGAACUGAGACACGGUCCAGACUCCUACGGGAGGCAGCAGUGGGGAAUAUUGCACAAUGGGCGCAAGCCUGAUGCAGCCAUGCCGCGUGUAUGAAGAAGGCCUUCGGGUUGUAAAGUACUUUCAGCGGGGAGGAAGGGAGUCAAGUUAAUACCUUAGCUCAUUGACGUUACCCGCAGAAGAAGCACCGGCUAACUCCGUG